GUUUAGAGUUUGAUCCUGGCUCAGGGUGAACGCUAGCGGUGCGCCUAACACAUGCAAGUCGAGCGGUAUUGGUAUUACUGAUUCUUUCGGGAUGAUGAAAUAUUGAGAGAGCGGCGAACGGGUGAGUAACACGUUGGUAUCUGCCCCCAAGUCAGGGAUAGCCAUUCGAAAGGAUGAUUAAUACCGGAUAGUCUCUUUGGAGUAAAAAUUUAUUGCUUGGGGAGGAGCCUGCGGUCUAUCAGCUAGUUGGUAAGGUAAAAGCUUACCAAGGCUAUGACGGAUACCUGGUCUGAGAGGAUGAUCAGGCACAAUGGAACUGAGACACGGUCCAUACUCCUACGGGAGGCAGCAGUGAGGAAUCUUCCACAAUGGACGAAAGUCUGAUGGAGCGACACCGCGUGAAGGAUGAAGGCCUAACGGUUGUAAACUUCUUUUCUGAAGGAGCAUAAUGAGAGUACUUCAGGAAUAAGGGACGGCUAAAUACGUGCCAGCAGCCGCGGUAAUACGUAUGUCUCAAGCGUUACCCGGAAUCACUGGGUGUAAAGGGUUCGUAGGCGGAAAUUUAAGUCAGGUAUGAAAGACCGGAGCUCAACUCCGAGUUUGUGCUUGAAACUGGAUUUCUAGAAUUAGGGAGAGGUAAGCGGAAUUCUAAGUGUAGGGGUGCAAUCCGUAGAUACUUAGAGGAACACCAAAAGCGAAGGCAGCUUACUGGAACUAUAUUGACGCUGAUGAACGAAAGCGUGGGUAGCGAAAAGGAUUAGAUACCCCUGUAGUCCACGCCCUAAACGUUGAUAAUUAAGUGUUGCACAUUGGUGCAGUGCUGUAGCUAACGCGUUAAAUUAUCCACCUGAGGAGUACGGUCGCAAGAUUAAAACUCAAAGGAAUAGACGGGGACCCACACAAGCAGUGGAUCACGUGGUUUAAUUCGACAAUAAACGGGGAACCUUACCCAGACUUGACAUCUACCGAAUCUUUUAGAGAUAAAAGAGUGCCUUUAUUGGAGCGGUAAGACAGGUGCUGCAUGGUUGUCGUCAGCUCGUGCCUUGAGGUGUUCGGUUAAGUCCGUUAACGAGCGCAACCCAUGUCUUUAGUUAUUAUGUCUAAAGAGACUGCCUUGGUUAACAAGGAGGAAGGUGUGGAUGACGUCAAAUCAGCAUGGCUUUUACGUCUGGGGCUACACACAUGAUACAAUGGUAUGUACAAAGAGCAGCGAUACCGCGAGGUGGAGCCAAUCUUCAAAGCAUAUCUCAGUCCGGAUUGGAGUCUGCAACUCGACUCCAUGAAGUUGGAAUUGCUAGUAAUCGUGAAUCAGAUAUGUCACGGUGAAUAUGUUCCUGGGUCUUGUACUCACCGCCCGUCACGGCAUGGGAGGUAGUAAUAUCGGAAGUCCCCCUAGUAAUAUGGGGGCCCAUGGUAGGACUACUGACUGGGCUGAAGUCGUAACAAGGUAGCCAAAC
This 1457-nucleotide ribosomal RNA is filed under the name uncultured bacterium. Its description in RNAcentral is "bacterial SSU rRNA". It matches the Rfam family "Bacterial small subunit ribosomal RNA". The record is from RNAcentral.